Corapipo altera (White-ruffed manakin) is the source of this 308-nucleotide long non-coding RNA. RefSeq lists it as uncharacterized. Lineage: Eukaryota; Metazoa; Chordata; Aves; Passeriformes; Pipridae. The record is from RefSeq and is a predicted model, not a curated record. The transcript has 2 exons.
UCACCAUAGAUACCGUUUUGGAGCCUGCAUCAUUUCAGAAGAAAAUAUGGAUAUAAGGAUAUAAGCACACGUACUUGAUUAGGGUGUCUAAGAGAACAUGAAGAACUUCCUGCAGUCUGGACUUUCACUUCAGAGAGGCUGAAAAUUUGGAAGGUGCAUUUUUGUAUCCUAGGAUGAAAACUUGCAAGUAGAGCUGUGCCCAGUAUCUGUUGAUAUUCUGGAUUUUAUUGUGUUUAUAAUAAUCAGAUUGACAUCUAUGUUUUCAGUGACUACUUGGAUGAAAUAAAGAAUGAAGUUUUAGUGGCUCA